AUGUGGAAAUCUUUAAAAAAAAGUGUAUAUUUAAAGGGUGUUGCUACACGUUGGUCGGCGGAUCUUUUAAAAGAUCUGCCGCUUCACGAGCUAUCGGAUCUGAUGGACCGAGCAACCGAGCGUGACCUUUUAAUAUUGCAACACAGGUUGUGUUGCAUGAAAUUUCUGCAACACGGGUCAUGUUGCAGAAAUAUUUGCAAGAUAUUUCUUUUGCAACAGAGAUCUUAUUGUAGUUUUUUUUGCAACAGGGUCUUGUUGCAAUUUAGUUUUUUCUUGCAACAGAGGUCUCAUUGCAAAUUUAGUUUUUCUGCAACAGAGGUCUUGUUGCAAUUUUUGGAACAGAGACCUUGUUGCAAAAACGCAUCAUAG
Molecule: ribosomal RNA, 369 nt
Filed under: Triticum aestivum (bread wheat)
Lineage: Eukaryota; Viridiplantae; Streptophyta; Magnoliopsida; Poales; Poaceae
Description: partial small subunit ribosomal RNA
Source: RNAcentral